UGGUUCUGGCAUCGAUGAAGAACGCAGCGAAAUGCGAUAGGUAAUGUGAAUUGCAGAAUUUAGUGAAUCAUCGAAUCUUUGAACGCACAUUGCGCCCAUUGGUACUCCGAUGGGCAUGCACGUUCGAGCGUCAUUAGACCCCCUCAAGUUAAACUUGGUGUUGAGCCCUGCUGGUCAGCCAGCUGGCUCUAAAAUCAGUGGCAGCUGCCCCUGGCUCUAAGCGUAGUAACUACCCUCGCUCUUGUGCCUGGUGGUUUGCUUGCCAACAACCCCCGACUCCUAUGUUUGACCUCGGAUCGUGUAGGAAUACCCGCUGA
RNAcentral lists this unclassified non-coding RNA (317 nucleotides) under uncultured fungus. RNAcentral describes it as "partial contains 5.8S ribosomal RNA and internal transcribed spacer 2". The stretch from base 1 to 133 matches the Rfam family "5.8S ribosomal RNA", at positions 22 to 154 of the family's 154-position model. Lineage: Eukaryota; Fungi. The record is from RNAcentral.